ACUGCUCAGGGGGAAUUCAGGGACGAGAAACUUAAUGGCUGCAGUUUUAUAGUCUUUAUCAGACCAUCGAGGCUGUAAUCAGAAGAUAAGAGUUAUCAUCCGUCAUCUCAAUCAAGUUUCAAGAGAAAAUCAUUGCAAGACAGCCUCUGGGAGCUGCUGCUACUUCUUCCAACCUGCUGAACCACAUUCAAUCCAGGUAAUCACCCUUUUUCUUCUUAAAGUUAUGAACAGCCUCCCCUUCCUGGGGAAACGCAUUUACUCAUUACAUUGUGACUGUCCCUGUGACUGGGGAAUGUUCCUGUGGACACAGGGCUGUGGGGCUGAGGUCAGAGCAGUCCUCCAGGGCUGGAAAUUAGAGUGUGGGAAGUGGAAUUGUCCCUAGAGAUAAAGAAUCACAAGUAAUUCCCAAUCUGUGCUCACUCUUAAAUGAGGGGCCUCUUCAGAACCAGCCCAUCAGAGCAGUGAGACAAAUGAUGGUUGUUCUUCUUCCCUGACACUGCAAAAUUCUCUGGGGUUCUGGGAGCUGAGCUGAGCAGUUCUGAAAUGUGAGGAAGGAGCCAGCGUUUGUUCAAGGUUUUGUUCCUUCCAGAUACAACUUUCAUCUGAGUUCUUUCAUGAGACUGUCAGACCAGGGCCAAAUCCUCAUCUGUAAAAUCUGAGAGGGCCCCGUUUGUUUCAAGGGAUCUGCACCCCUCAGUCUGUGGGGUUCCCUGGAAGGAGCCAGUGGGAAUGCAGGGAUGGUGAGGGUGGAGCAGCAGCGCUGGGAUGUGGAAGGUUCUAGAGGCUGCAGGUGAGCAGGGUCCCCUUUGCUCUCCUACAGUUUCUCUCCAGGUGGCACAUUGGACUGCCACCAUUGUAAGCACAGUGACCAAUUUUCUGGAUAUCCCUUUUUGGAAAAAGAUGGGCUGGGGGAAUCUUGAUGCCAUUUGAUGGAUUUCCUGCAUCACAGUGUGAGUCAUUAAUCACAUUUGUACCUUCAAGAAGGAAAUAUUAACUGGGAUAAACUGGGAUACUCUGUAUUCUGGUAGAUUUCAGAUUUAUUUGCUUUAUUCAUAAAGUAGAGCUGCAAAUAAGUACUUGCAUAUUUCUAAAUGACUUACACUUAAAUAUAGCCACAAUCUGAUGUAAACUGGCAAAAUUCCCUUAGUUAAAUGGAUUCACUCCAGCUUGCACCAGGAGGAUUAGGCCCUGAGAUUCAAGCAAGCCCUGUUGUGAUGACCAUGAAAAAAACUCAGAUUGAAGAUAAGUUGGGAAGCAAUCAAACCAAAUCAUAAGCCUGUCUGAUUUAAUUUGUUUUUCUGGCAAGCCAUGGAUUUCUGAGAAUACAACCUUGUUGCAAUGUGUGUUGCACCAAAUCCUUCAGCUGAUGAGCCCAUUGCCAC
This 1382-nucleotide long non-coding RNA is filed under the name Junco hyemalis (dark-eyed junco). RNAcentral's name for it is "lncRNA (ENSJHYG00000001564.1)". The record is from RNAcentral. Lineage: Eukaryota; Metazoa; Chordata; Aves; Passeriformes; Passerellidae.